GCGGAAGUGUCGGAAUCGGCAGACGAGCAAGACUAAGGAUCUUGUGGGCAUCGCGCUCGUGUGGGUUCAAGUCCCAUCUUCCGCA
RNAcentral lists this transfer RNA (85 nucleotides) under Eubacteriales bacterium. RNAcentral describes it as "tRNA-Leu". It matches the Rfam family "tRNA". From Rfam's summary of the family: Transfer RNA (tRNA) molecules are approximately 80 nucleotides in length. Their secondary structure includes four short double-helical elements and three loops (D, anti-codon, and T loops). The record is from RNAcentral. Lineage: Bacteria; Bacillati; Bacillota; Clostridia; Eubacteriales.